This 2965-nucleotide ribosomal RNA is filed under the name Pinus taeda (loblolly pine). RNAcentral describes it as "bacterial LSU rRNA". It matches the Rfam family "Bacterial large subunit ribosomal RNA", at positions 735 to 2925 of the family's 2925-position model. The record is from RNAcentral. Lineage: Eukaryota; Viridiplantae; Streptophyta; Pinopsida; Pinales; Pinaceae.
CAUGAGAAGGUUGAAGAGAGCUCCAAUAGGCCUUGGAGGACUGAACCCACGUAUGUGCAAAAUACGGGGAUGACUUAUGGCGAGGGGUGAAAGGCCAACCAAGAUCCAAUAUAGUUGGUUUUCUGUGAAAUCUAUUUCAGUAGUGUGUGUGUAUAACAUGGCUCUAGGUAGAGCACUCAAUGGUCUAGGGUGGCCUAAUGCUUGACCAACCCCAAGGAAACUCCAAGUACAAGCCUAAUCAAUCAUAUAGACAAAAUUUGGGUGCUAAGAUCCAGAGUUGAGAGGGAAACAACCCAGAUCAUACGCUAAGGUCCCUAAGCAAUCAGUUAAUGGAAAAGGAAGUGAUUGAGCGAUGAUAACUAGGAGGUGGGCUUGGAAGCAUCCAUCCUUCAAAGAAAGCUUAAUAGCUCACUGGUCUAGCUCGCAUGGCACCGAAAAAUGUAAUCGCGGGCUCAAGUGAUUCACCGAAGGCGACGAUACUUGAAGCAUUAAGCGGGCUCUCAGACCAAGGUUCUUUAUUGCUCCACCACUAAGGGUGAGGUAAUACCUUGCAUGACUAACAGGGGAGGAGGGCGAGAAAGCGAGGUGCCAACCUAGUGUUAGUAGCGGGAUGUUCUGCCAAUCGAGGAAGGGACAACACCUAGAGAUAUCAGAAGUGAGAAUGAUGACAUGAGUAGCAAUGAAUCAUGUGAAAAACACAAUCACCUGCUAGUUAUAGGGUUUUUCCGUUAAGUCAAUCUACGCAGAGUGAUAGGUUCCUAAGAACCCCCGAAAGGGCUUUCGUCCGAUGGUACCGAAAGUGACAAAGUUGCCCCGACUUACUAAAACUGCAUUUGUUGAAUGAAUUGGGAUGAGAGUUCAAUUUUCUUACCAACCAAAUUAAAUGAAUGGAAAAGCGCACCUUUUUUAGGGUUUCAACUUCUAGGAAAAAACUUUGAANNNNNNNNNNNNNNNNNNNNACAAACUUUGGGUGCUAAGAUCUAGAGUUGAGAGGGAAACAACCCAGAUCAUACGCUAAGGUCCCUAAGCAAUCACUUAGUGGAAAAGGAAGUGAUUGAGCGAUGAUAAGCAGGAGGUGGGCUUGGAAGCAUCCAUGCUUCAAAGAAAGCUUAAUAGCUCACUGUUCUAGCUCCAUGGCACCAAAAAUGCAUCGGGGCUCAAGUGAUUCACAGAAGCAAUGAGACCUUGGAAGUGUUAAGCGGGAUCUCAAGACCCAAGGUUCUUUACUGCUCACCCAUAAGGGUGAGUUAUUUCUUUUGCGACUAACAAGAGAGGUAAUUUCUUGCUUGAUUAAUAGGAGAGGUAAUACCUUGCUUGACUAACAGGAGAGGAGGGCGAGAAAGCGGAGGUGUGCCAACCAGUGUUAGUGUGGGAGUUCUGUCAAUCGGGGAAGGGACAACACCUAGAGAUAUCAGAAGUGAUAUUGCUGACAUGAGUGACGAUGAAUCAUGUGAAAAACAUGAUUUCCUGCUAAUUCCAUGGUUUUUGCGUUCAGUCAAUCUAUGCAGAGUGAAUUGGUCCCUAAGGAACCCCCAAAGGGGCUUUCAUAUUAUGGUUACACAAAAGUGAUGAAGUUGCCCCGACUACUGAAACACAUGCUUAUCUGUUUGAAGUGAAUUGGAUGAGAGUUCAAUUUUCUUACCAACCAAAUUAAAUGAAUGGAAAAGCGCACCUUUUUUAGGGUUUAAACUUCUAGGAAAAAACUUUGAAUUGGGAAGCCGAUCCUCUCGGUGAACUAACCAUACCCCAAAUUGACACAGGUGAAUAAGUAGAGUAUACUAGGGUGCUUAAGAGAACCAUGUUGAAGGAACUUAGCAAAAUGACCCCAUAUCUUUGGUAGAAGGGGUGCUCCCCUCCUAUCUUUUGGGUUUGGGAAAGCAAACACAUAUAGGCGGUAGCGACUGUUUGUUAAAAACACCGACUCUACCAAAUGUAACAUGAUGUAUAGAGUCUGACACUUGCCAGUUCUAGAAGGUUGGAAGGAGAAGUGUGAUAAUAUUUGAAUGGAAGCAUUGAUAAACAGUGGCAAUAACUCUAACUAUCCUAAGGUAGCGAAAUUCCUUAUCGCAUAAGUAGCGACCUGUGUGAAUGGUGUAAUGAUUGCCCUGUUGUCUCCAACAUGGACCUAGUGAAAUUGAAUUCUCCAUGAAGAUGCAGAGUACCAAUGGCUAGAAAGUAAGACCUCAUGCACCUUAACUACAGCUUCGCAGUGACAACCUCUUACAAUGUGUGGAUAGGUGGGUGGUGGAUUAUCAAUCCUGGAAUACCACUCUUUCAUCUAAGGAUACCUAACCACUUCUCUCUCUAGAUUGAUUCUCAGGGUGGGACACUGCAAGGUGGGUAGUUUAUCUAGGGUGGAUGCCUCGUAAAGAGUAACAGAGGUGUGUGAAGGUAGGCACUUUCAAUAAGUAGGUGUAAUGGUCUAAGCUUUCCUAACUAUGAGACUCACUAAUCGAACAGAGAUGAAAGUCGGCCAUAGUGAUUCGGGAGUCCCACAUGGAAGGGCUCUCGCUCAACGGAACAAAUGUAUGAUAAGGAUAAUAGGCUGAUGACUCCCAAGAGCUCUUAUUGAUGGAGUCGUUUGGCACCUUGAUGUGGACUCAUCACAUCCUGGAGUUGAAGAAGGUCCCAAGGGUUUUGUUGUUCGCCGAUGAAAGGGGUAUGUGAUUUGGGUUUAGAACGUCAUGAAACAGUUCGGUUCCUAUCUACCUUGGUGUUGAAGGGAGAACUGUGAGGAGCCAACCAUAGUACAAGAGGAUUGGGUUGGGCCAACCUAUGGUGUACAGUUGUCACACCUAACCAGGCCAGCAGCCAAGUUGGAUGGAAGAACUACAAGAGCAUCUAAAUGGAAAUCCUUUCUAGAGAAGUUCUCGUACGAGGUGAAAGAACUCACUUCGAUAGGUAAUAGGUGUAAGCACCAUGAGGUGUUCAGCGAUUUCAUACUAAACCGAAAAGAACCUGCUCU